GAAGAAAGGAUGUUGUCAAUGUGCCUUUAAGAAUGGAUGUUGUCCAUGUUUUGGGUGAAUGUUGUUUUAUGCCAGUCUGCCGCAAUUCAUGUAUCAAGUUCAAUUAUAUCUUCUUAGCUAUGUG
Molecule: long non-coding RNA, 124 nt
Organism: Haliotis rubra (blacklip abalone)
Lineage: Eukaryota; Metazoa; Mollusca; Gastropoda; Lepetellida; Haliotidae
Exons: 3
Source: RefSeq, a predicted model, not a curated record